UGCCACGAGGUUGGGGAUAGCCCAUGGAAACAUGGGGUAAUACCGAAUGAGCUCUUUUCACUAUGGUGAAUUGAGGAAAGGUGCUCCGGCACCGCCUUGUGAUGAGCCUGCGCCUGAUUAGCUAGUUGGCGGAGUAACGGCCCACCAAGGCGACGAUCAGUAGCCGGCCUGAGAGGGUGAUCGGCCACACUGGGACUGAGAUACGGCCCAGACUCCUACGGGAGGCAGCAGCUAAGAAUCUUCCGCAAUGGACGAAAGUCUGACGGAGCGACGCCGCGUGAACGAUGAAGGCCUAACGGUUGUUAAGUUCUUUUCUUGCUGAGGAAUAAGCCCGGGAGGGAACGCCCGGGUGAUGACGGUAGGCAAGGAAUAAGCCCCGGCCAAUUACGUGCCAGCAGCCGCGGUAACACGUAUGGGGCGAGCGUUGUUCGGAAUCAUUGGGCGUAAAGGGCGCGCAGGCGGUUGCGUAAGCCUGGUGUGAUAGACCGCAGCUUAACUGCGGGAUCGCGCUGGGAACUGUGUAACUAGAGUUCAAGAGGGGGAGUUGGAAUUCCAGGUGUAGGCGUGAAACCUGUAGAUAUCUGGAAGACCAUCGGUGACGAAGGCGAACUCCUGGCUAUGACCUGACGCUGAGGCGCGAAAGCGUGGGGAGCGAUCAGGACUAGAUCCCUGGUAGUCACGCCGUAACGUUGUGCACUAGUGU
RNAcentral lists this ribosomal RNA (703 nucleotides) under uncultured bacterium. Its description in RNAcentral is "bacterial SSU rRNA". It matches the Rfam family "Bacterial small subunit ribosomal RNA", at positions 127 to 822 of the family's 1533-position model. The record is from RNAcentral.